This 40-nucleotide non-coding RNA is filed under the name Schistosoma mansoni. Lineage: Eukaryota; Metazoa; Platyhelminthes; Trematoda; Strigeidida; Schistosomatidae. The record is from RNAcentral.
CUUCUGAGGAGUCCCACAAUAGGACGAAACGGCCGUCCAG